This 273-nucleotide ribosomal RNA is filed under the name uncultured Paeniglutamicibacter sp. RNAcentral's name for it is "partial 16S ribosomal RNA". It matches the Rfam family "Bacterial small subunit ribosomal RNA", at positions 524 to 796 of the family's 1533-position model. The record is from RNAcentral. Lineage: Bacteria; Bacillati; Actinomycetota; Actinomycetes; Micrococcales; Micrococcaceae.
UACGUAGGGCGCAAGCGUUAUCCGGAAUUAUUGGGCGUAAAGCGCUCGUAGGCGGUUUGUCGCGUCUAUCGUGAAAGUCCGGGGCUCAACUUCGGAUCUGCGGUGGGUACGGGCAGACUAGAGUGAUGUAGGGGAGACUGGAAUUCCUGGUGUAGCGGUGAAAUGCGCAGAUAUCAGGAGGAACACCGAUGGCGAAGGCAGGUCUCUGGGCAGUAACUGACGCUGAGGAGCGAAAGCAUGGGGAGCGAACAGGAUUAGAUACCCCCGUAGUCC